This 266-nucleotide long non-coding RNA is filed under the name Phoenix dactylifera (date palm). Its description in RNAcentral is "long non-coding RNA (PDAC_LNC005843)". Lineage: Eukaryota; Viridiplantae; Streptophyta; Magnoliopsida; Arecales; Arecaceae. The record is from RNAcentral.
GGAGGUUUGACACUUGAAGGUACUAGCUGGGAUUUAGGUAUAGAUAAUGAUUCAAAUUUAGUAGCCCAUCUGCUAGUAUCCAUUACAAGAAUGGAAUCUAGCAAUGCAAUAACCUCCUGAUUCGACUCUCCUUUCUCACAAUCUUGACUGAAUUGGGCCAAACAUCUUUUUAGUGGAUCAGAAUAACUUGAUUCCUCGAAGGUCUUGCUGAUUAUGUUCUCAAUCAUGUGAAUUUCUUCUAAAUCGUCCAUCUCAGAUGGUUGAUU